AGAGUUUGAUCCUGGCUCAGGACGAACGCUGGCGGCGUGCCUAAUACAUGCAAGUCGAGCGGAGUUGAAGAGGUGCUUGCACCUCUGAUACUUAGCGGCGGACGGGUGAGUAACACGUGGGCAAUCUGCCCUUCACUCUGGGACAAGCCCUGGAAACGGGGUCUAAUACCGGAUAACACUCUGUCCCGCAUGGGACGGGGUUGAAAGCUCCGGCGGUGAAGGAUGAGCCCGCGGCCUAUCAGCUUGUUGGUGGGGUGAUGGCCUACCAAGGCGACGACGGGUAGCCGGCCUGAGAGGGCGACCGGCCACACUGGGACUGAGACACGGCCCAGACUCCUACGGGAGGCAGCAGUGGGGAAUAUUGCACAAUGGGCGAAAGCCUGAUGCAGCGACGCCGCGUGAGGGAUGACGGCCUUCGGGUUGUAAACCUCUUUCAGCAGGGAAGAAGCGAAAGUGACGGUACCUGCAGAAGAAGCGCCGGCUAACUACGUGCCAGCAGCCGCGGUAAUACGUAGGGCGCAAGCGUUGUCCGGAAUUAUUGGGCGUAAAGAGCUCGUAGGCGGCUUGUUGCGUCGGUUGUGAAAGCCCGGGGCUUAACCCCGGGUCUGCAGUCGAUACGGGCAGGCUAGAGUGUGGUAGGGGAGAUCGGAAUUCCUGGUGUAGCGGUGAAAUGCGCAGAUAUCAGGAGGAACACCGGUGGCGAAGGCGGAUCUCUGGGCCAUUACUGACGCUGAGGAGCGAAAGCGUGGGGAGCGAACA
Molecule: ribosomal RNA, 759 nt
Filed under: Streptomyces sp. H2BS12_pA
Lineage: Bacteria; Bacillati; Actinomycetota; Actinomycetes; Kitasatosporales; Streptomycetaceae
Description: bacterial SSU rRNA
Rfam family: Bacterial small subunit ribosomal RNA
Source: RNAcentral